This 83-nucleotide transfer RNA is filed under the name Bacillus phage BCP8-2. It matches the Rfam family "tRNA". From Rfam's summary of the family: Transfer RNA (tRNA) molecules are approximately 80 nucleotides in length. Their secondary structure includes four short double-helical elements and three loops (D, anti-codon, and T loops). The record is from Rfam by way of RNAcentral. Lineage: Duplodnaviria; Heunggongvirae; Uroviricota; Caudoviricetes; Herelleviridae.
GUCAGAGUGUUGGAAUUGGUAGACUUGGCAGAUUUAGAAUCUGCUGUCCUAGUGGCGUGAGGGUUCAAGUCCCUCCUCUGACA